RNAcentral lists this ribosomal RNA (253 nucleotides) under uncultured prokaryote. RNAcentral describes it as "partial 16S ribosomal RNA". It matches the Rfam family "Bacterial small subunit ribosomal RNA", at positions 525 to 777 of the family's 1533-position model. The record is from RNAcentral.
ACGUAGGGUGCGAGCGUUAAUCAGAAUUACGGGGCGUAAAGCGUGCGCAGGCGGUGAUGUAAGACAGGUGUGAAAUCCCGGGGCUCGACCUCGGAACUGCAUUUGUGACUGCAUCGCUGGAGUGCGGCAGAGGGGGAUGGAAUUCCGCGUGUAGCAGUGAAAUGCGUAGAUAUCGUGAGGAACACCAGAGGCGAAGGCGGUUUCCUGGACAGUUACUGACGCUCAGGCACGAAAGCAUGGGGAGCAAAAGGGA